UACGUAGGGAGCAAGCGUUGUCCGGAAUCAUUGGGCGUAAAGCGCGCGCAGGCGGUCCCUUAAGUCUGAUGUGAAAGCCCACGGCUCAACCGUGGAGGGUCAUUGGAAACUGGGGGACUUGAGUACAGAAGAGGAAAGUGGAAUUCCACGUGUAGCGGUGAAAUGCGUAGAGAUGUGGAGGAACACCAGUGGCGAAGGCGACUUUCUGGUCUGUAACUGACGCUGAGGCGCGAAAGCGUGGGGAGCAAACAGG
Molecule: ribosomal RNA, 253 nt
Filed under: uncultured bacterium
Lineage: Bacteria
Description: partial 16S ribosomal RNA
Rfam family: Bacterial small subunit ribosomal RNA
Source: RNAcentral